GGCGGUGGCUUAACCUAAUCAGAGGCAAUUUGCCCUACUAAUCGAUAAAUCCCCGRUUAUAUCUUACUCAGGGUUGCAGUCAGCCUUGUAUACCGCCGUCAUCAGGAAAUUUUUAGAAAAUAUUUUCAAAAAUCUUUGCAGACAUAUGUCAGGUCAAGGUGCAGCUAAUACUUGAGAAGAGGUGAAUUACAAUAAAAUAAUUUAUACGAAAUGUUUAGUGGGAACUAAGCAUGAAGGUGGAUU
Molecule: ribosomal RNA, 243 nt
Filed under: Drunella trispina
Lineage: Eukaryota; Metazoa; Arthropoda; Insecta; Ephemeroptera; Ephemerellidae
Description: partial 12S ribosomal RNA
Source: RNAcentral